ACGAUACGUCCUUUUGGGGAUAGAAGUAAUAUUCAUCAAUGUCAAAUUAAAUUCCCAUGAAAACUUAAAAGCACACAAAUAUGUAAUUGCAUAGGAUCAACAUAACCAUCAAUUCUGCUCGACCCGUGUACUAAAAAUAACUAUUACAGAACAAGAAAUCAUUGAGACUAGAAGUACGGUAUCAAACUGGGGAAAACAGUAACAGAAAGCUUACGCGCUUAAAGAUCAAUAACACGAGAAAGCUUCUGAAUACGGUUCAACAAAAAGUCUCCUUGCUUGAUAGUUGCUUGAUACAGAGCAUUCUUUGCAUCCGGGCGGUUGGUUUCUAGUACACCUGCUACUUUAUCGAUCUUGCAAUGAAGCUUCCCCGCCGCAAUGAAUCUUGACAGUUCCCUUUUGAACAUGUAUCAAAUCAAACAAUUAUACCAACCCUAAGGCCCAAACAAGCCUGGAAUCAACAUAGUAAGCUAAACAGCUAAACUAGCCGGGAGAAGCCUAAAACAUAUCUAAAACCCCUAAAAAUUGUAUUU
RNAcentral lists this long non-coding RNA (530 nucleotides) under Helianthus annuus (common sunflower). Its description in RNAcentral is "sRNA HanXRQr2_Chr16g0722951". Lineage: Eukaryota; Viridiplantae; Streptophyta; Magnoliopsida; Asterales; Asteraceae. The record is from RNAcentral.